GACGAACGCUGGCGGCGUGCUUAACACAUGCAAGUCGAGCGGUAAGGCCUUUCGGGUGACCCGAGCGCGGUAGGGGUGCGUGACAGGUUGACGCUCUGCCCCGCACUUUGGGAUAAGGCUGGGACACUGGGACUAAUGCCGGAAAUGACCUCCUAUUGCUGCGUGGGUGGGGGGACUAGUUAUCGGUGCAGGUUGGGCCCGCGGCCUAUCAGCUUGUUGGUGGGGUAAUGGUCUACCAAGGCGACGACGGGUAGCCGACCUGAGAGGGUGACCGGCCACACUGGGACUGAGACACGGCCCAGACUCCUACGGGAGGCAGCAGUGGGGAAUAUUGCACAAUGGGCGAAAGCCUGAUGCAGCGACGCCGCGUGCGGGAUGACGGCCUACGGGUUGUAAACCUCUUUCAGCAGAGACGAAGCGGUAGUGACGGUACCUGCUGAAGAAGCACCGGCUAACUACGUG
RNAcentral lists this ribosomal RNA (462 nucleotides) under uncultured bacterium. RNAcentral describes it as "partial 16S ribosomal RNA". It matches the Rfam family "Bacterial small subunit ribosomal RNA", at positions 28 to 507 of the family's 1533-position model. The record is from RNAcentral.